Molecule: ribosomal RNA, 319 nt
Filed under: Arxiozyma telluris
Lineage: Eukaryota; Fungi; Ascomycota; Saccharomycetes; Saccharomycetales; Saccharomycetaceae
Description: Kazachstania telluris ribosomal RNA
Source: RNAcentral
GAGAAAACAAAAACCUUCUAGUGGAGAGUGCUGGAGGAGCCAUGGAGGAGUGCGUAUACUGCGGGAAGGCCAGCGCUUAGUUGCGCGGCGUCUGCGGGUGCUUCGCCGGGAGCCUCUGCUACAGGUGCUCUGCACGUAGAACACACACACAGUGGAGACACGUAUGCACGUUUUUCUGGGUGCACGAGUGCUUUGGGCCGGCGACGGUCCAGAGUGCGGCACGCAAAACACAAACAAAAAUGCAGUAUCAAAGAAGACAGUCAAGAUUUUAAGCCUGGACAGCACGAGAGUGCGGGCCGGCGAUUAGAACAAAUAUUCA